RNAcentral lists this ribosomal RNA (175 nucleotides) under uncultured bacterium. RNAcentral's name for it is "partial 16S ribosomal RNA". It matches the Rfam family "Bacterial small subunit ribosomal RNA", at positions 1318 to 1500 of the family's 1533-position model. The record is from RNAcentral.
CCAUGAAGCUGGAUUCGCUAGUAAUCGCGCAUCAGCCACGGCGCGGUGAAUACGUUCCCGGGCCUUGUACACACCGCCCGUCAAGCCAUGAAAGCCGGGGGUACCUGAAGUGCGUAACCGCGAGGAGCGCCCUAGGGUAAAACUGGUGAUUGGGGCUAAGUCGUAACAAGGUAAC